This 855-nucleotide ribosomal RNA is filed under the name uncultured bacterium. Its description in RNAcentral is "bacterial SSU rRNA". It matches the Rfam family "Bacterial small subunit ribosomal RNA", at positions 29 to 878 of the family's 1533-position model. The record is from RNAcentral.
AUGAACGCUGGCGGCAUGCCUUACACAUGCAAGUCGAACGGCAGCACGGGGGCAACCCUGGUGGCGAGUGGCGAACGGGUGAGUAAUACAUCGGAACGUGUCCUGUAGUGGGGGAUAGCCCGGCGAAAGCCGGAUUAAUACCGCAUACGAUCUGUGGAUGAAAGCGGGGGAUCCUUCGGGACCUCGCGCUGCAGGGGCGGCCGAUGGCAGAUUAGCUAGUUGGUGGGGUAAAGGCCUACCAAGGCGACGAUCUGUAGCUGGUCUGAGAGGACGACCAGCCACACUGGGACUGAGGCACGGCCCAGACUCCUACGGGAGGCAGCAGUGGGGAAUUUUGGACAAUGGGGGAAACCCUGAUCCAGCAAUGCCGCGUGUGUGAAGAAGGCCUUCGGGUUGUAAAGCACUUUUGUCCGGAAAGAAAACCUCCGUCCUAAUACGGUGGGGGGAUGACGGUACCGGACGAAUAAGCACCGGCUAACUACGUGCCAGCAGCCGCGGUAAUACGUAGGGUGCAAGCGUUAAUCGGAAUUACUGGGCGUAAAGCGUGCGCAGGCGGUUCGCUAAGACAGAUGUGAAAUCCCCGGGCUUAACCUGGGAACUGCAUUUGUGACUGGCGGGCUAGAGUAUGGCAGAGGGGGGUAGAAUUCCACGUGUAGCAGUGAAAUGCGUAGAGAUGUGGAGGAAUACCGAUGGCGAAGGCAGCCCCCUGGGCCAAUACUGACGCUCAUGCACGAAAGCGUGGGGAGCAAACAGGAUUAGAUACCCUGGUAGUCCACGCCCUAAACGAUGUCAACUAGUUGUCGGGUCUUCAUUGACUUGGUAACGUAGCUAACGCGUGAAGUUGACCGCCUGGGG